GAUGAACGCUAGCUACAGGCUUAACACAUGCAAGUCGAGGGGCAGCAUGGUCUUAGCUUGCUAAGGCCGAUGGCGACCGGCGCACGGGUGAGUAACACGUAUCCAACCUGCCGUCUACUCUUGGACAGCCUUCUGAAAGGAAGAUUAAUACAAGAUGGCAUCAUGAGUCCGCAUGUUCGCAUGAUUAAAGGUAUUCCGGUAGACGAUGGGGAUGCGUUCCAUUAGAUAGUAGGCGGGGUAACGGCCCACCUAGUCUUCGAUGGAUAGGGUUCUGAGAGGAAGGUCCCCCACAUUGGAACUGAGACACGGUCCAAACUCCUACGGGAGGCAGCAGUGAGGAAUAUUGGUCAAUGGGCGCAGGCCUGAACCAGCCAAGUAGCGUGAAGGAUGACUGCCCUAUGGGUUGUAAACUUCUUUUAUAAAGGAAUAAAGUCGGGUAUGUAUACCCGUUUGCAUGUACUUUAUGAAUAAGGAUCGGCUAACUCCGU
Molecule: ribosomal RNA, 488 nt
Filed under: uncultured bacterium
Lineage: Bacteria
Description: partial 16S ribosomal RNA
Rfam family: Bacterial small subunit ribosomal RNA
Source: RNAcentral